Molecule: ribosomal RNA, 306 nt
Filed under: Zorotypus sp. 3 YM-2019
Lineage: Eukaryota; Metazoa; Arthropoda; Insecta; Zoraptera; Zorotypidae
Description: partial 12S ribosomal RNA
Source: RNAcentral
GAAACUAAAAGAAUUUGGCGGCAAUUUAAUUUUUUAGAGGAAUUUGUUUCGUUAUCGAUAUUCCGCGAGUUAUUUACUUAAUUUUGUUUAGCUUAUAUACCGUUGUUAUAAGAGUAUAUUUUUAGAUUUAUUUUCUUUAGUUUAAUAAAAUGUUAUUUCAGAUCAAGGUUUAGUUUAUAGUUAAGUGAGAAUGAGUUACAAUAAAUUGUAUUUAAACGGAUAUAUGUUUUUGUUUAUGUUUAUUGAAGGUGGAUUUAAGAGUAAUUUCAUUUAGUUUAGUGGUUUGAAGUUAAAUCUAAUUUGUGC